GUGAACGCUGGCGGUAGGCCUAACACCUGCAAGUCGAACGGCAGCACCGUAAGCGCUUGCUCUUACGGGUGGCGAGUGGCGGACGGGUGAGGAAUACAUCGGAAUCUACUUUUUCGUGGGGGAUAACGUAGGGAAACUUACGCUAAUACCGCAUACGACCUACGGGUGAAAGCAGGGGAUCUUCGGACCUUGCGCGAUUGAAUGAGCCGAUGUCGGAUUAGCUAGUUGGCGGGGUAAAGGCCCACCAAGGCGACGAUCCGUAGCUGGUCUGAGAGGAUGAUCAGCCACACUGGAACUGAGACACGGUCCAGACUCCUACGGGAGGCAGCAGUGGGGAAUAUUGGACAAUGGGCGCAAGCCUGAUCCAGCCAUACCGCGUGGGUGAAGAAGGCCUUCGGGUUGUAAAGCCCUUUUGUUGGGAAAGAAAAGCAGCAGGUUAAUACCCCGCUGUUCUGACGGUACCCAAAGAAUAAGCACCGGCUAACUUCGUG
RNAcentral lists this ribosomal RNA (491 nucleotides) under uncultured bacterium. Its description in RNAcentral is "partial 16S ribosomal RNA". It matches the Rfam family "Bacterial small subunit ribosomal RNA", at positions 29 to 507 of the family's 1533-position model. The record is from RNAcentral.